AGAGUUUGAUCCUGGCUUAGGACGAACGCUGGCGGCGUGCCUAACACAUGCAAGUCGAGCGAAGAUUAUAGCAAUGUAAUCUUAGCGGCGGACGGGUGAGUAACGCGUGGGCAACCUACCUCAAACUGGGGGAUAACACAGGGAAACUUGUGCUAAUACCGCAUAACAUCAUGAAAUGACAUCAUUUUAUGAUCAAAGGAGCAAUCCGGUGAGAGAUGGGCCCGCGUCCAAUUAGCUAGUUGGUGGUGUAACGGACCACCAAGGCGACGAUUGGUAGCCGAACUGAGAGGUUGAUCGGCCACAGUGGACUGAGACACGGCCCAGACUCCGUACGGGAGGCAGCAGGUGGGGAAUAUUGCGCAAUGGGGAAACCCUGACGCCAGCAACGCCGCGUGAAGGAUGAAGGUUUUCGGAUCGUAAACUUCUUUGAUGAGGGACGAAAGCAAUGACGGUACCUCAAAACAAGCCACGGCUAACUACGUGCCAGCCGCAGC
RNAcentral lists this ribosomal RNA (494 nucleotides) under uncultured bacterium. RNAcentral's name for it is "bacterial SSU rRNA". It matches the Rfam family "Bacterial small subunit ribosomal RNA", at positions 8 to 518 of the family's 1533-position model. The record is from RNAcentral.